This 88-nucleotide transfer RNA is filed under the name Candidatus Jorgensenbacteria bacterium RIFCSPLOWO2_12_FULL_42_11. RNAcentral's name for it is "tRNA-Ser". It matches the Rfam family "tRNA". From Rfam's summary of the family: Transfer RNA (tRNA) molecules are approximately 80 nucleotides in length. Their secondary structure includes four short double-helical elements and three loops (D, anti-codon, and T loops). Lineage: Bacteria; Candidatus Joergenseniibacteriota. The record is from RNAcentral. RNAcentral also lists the same sequence under 1 other name.
GGAGGGUUCGCAUAGCGGUCUAUUGCGUUCGCUUGGAAAGCGAAUAUACCGAAAGGUAUCACAGGUUCAAAUCCUGUACCCUCCGCCA